RNAcentral lists this ribosomal RNA (445 nucleotides) under uncultured bacterium. RNAcentral describes it as "partial 16S ribosomal RNA". It matches the Rfam family "Bacterial small subunit ribosomal RNA", at positions 354 to 796 of the family's 1533-position model. The record is from RNAcentral.
GUGAGGAAUAUUGGACAUUGGGCGCAAGCCUGAUCCUGCCAUGCCGCGUGCAGGAAGACGCAUCUAUGGUGUGUAAACUGCUUUUGUACGGGAAGAAACACUCCCUCGUGAGGGAGCUUGACGGUACCGUAAGAAUAAGGAUCGGCUAACUCCGUGCCAGCAGCCGCGGUAAUACGGAGGAUCCAAGCGUUAUCCGGAAUCAUUGGGUUUAAAGGGUCCGUAGGCGGUUUAAUAAGUCAGUGGUGAAAGCCCAUCGCUCAACGAUGGAACGGCCAUUGAUACUGUUAGACUUGAAUUACAAGGAAGUAACUAGAAUAUGUAGUGUAGCGGUGAAAUGCUUAGAUAUUACAUGGAAUACCAAUUGCGAAGGCAGGUUACUACUUGUGGAUUGACGCUGAUGGACGAAAGCGUGGGGAGCGAACAGGAUUAGAAACCCUGGUAGUCC